This 323-nucleotide ribosomal RNA is filed under the name Dermatophagoides pteronyssinus (European house dust mite). RNAcentral describes it as "eukaryotic LSU rRNA". Lineage: Eukaryota; Metazoa; Arthropoda; Arachnida; Sarcoptiformes; Pyroglyphidae. The record is from RNAcentral.
CGACUUUCGAACGCAUAUUGCAGCCAUUGGAUAGCCGAUGGCUUCGUUUGUCUGAGCGUCGUUUUCAAUUAUGACCAAACAAAAUGGGAUAGAUCUGUAUCGUCGUGAAUACGUCGUCAGGUCAUUUCCAAACAUUUGAUAUGCUGGCUUUUGUGGUGAAGAAGGCUUUGUAGCACAUUCACUCACAAGAGGUAUUUAGCGUUUCCAGCUAAACACCUUGAAUGUGUGCCUUGUAUAACCAAUCAAAAUGGUUGACAAAUCAUUGUCCAAUAAAAGUCUAAUUUCGACCUCAGAUCAAGCGAGAUUACCCCCUGAAUUUAAGC